This 344-nucleotide long non-coding RNA is filed under the name Androctonus crassicauda. Lineage: Eukaryota; Metazoa; Arthropoda; Arachnida; Scorpiones; Buthidae. The record is from RNAcentral.
UUCCCAGAAAUAUGGAAACACCGCCAGUUAAAAGCUCCUUCUUGUCCAUGUUUGUUCGCCUACAUGAAGGUACAUAAGAACCCUGUAGCUAUUAGACCAAUUGUGGAAAAGUUAAGUGCGCCCACCUACCACCUUGAGAAGAAAUUGGCGGCCUGGUCUAUGAAAAUACUUCUACAACAAGCUGAAAACUCUACUACCGUCACAACGCAAGCGUUACUUAGGCUGCGAGAAAUAGCAUGGGAGCAAGGCGAUGUCAUCGCAACAUAUGACUACGAGAGCUUAUACCCGUCUCUGGAGGUCGAACCCGUCUGCCUAUUGUUCUACAGAUUCCUCCUUGAUAACAC